This is a non-coding RNA of Necator americanus (New World hookworm), 46 nucleotides long. Lineage: Eukaryota; Metazoa; Nematoda; Chromadorea; Rhabditida; Ancylostomatidae. The record is from Rfam.
CCAACGGCCCUCUUUAGGGCCACAUUUUCUUGCCGAAUUUUUAUUU